RNAcentral lists this ribosomal RNA (1293 nucleotides) under metagenome. Its description in RNAcentral is "bacterial SSU rRNA". It matches the Rfam family "Bacterial small subunit ribosomal RNA", at positions 180 to 1498 of the family's 1533-position model. The record is from RNAcentral.
ACGGCUCGGCAUCGAGCAGAGGGAAAAGGAGCAAUCCGCUUUGAGAUGGCCUCGCGUCCGAUUAGCUAGUUGGUGAGGUAAUGGCCCACCAAGGCGACGAUCGGUAGCCGGACUGAGAGGUUGAACGGCCACAUUGGGACUGAGACACGGCCCAGACUCCUACGGGAGGCAGCAGUGGGGAAUAUUGCACAAUGGGGGAAACCCCGAUGCAGCGACGCCGCGUGGAGGAAGAAGGUCUUCGGAUUGUAAACUCCUGUUGUUGAGGAAGAUAAUGACGGUACUCAACAAGGAAGUGACGGCUAACUACGUGCCAGCAGCCGCGGUAAAACGUAGGUCACAAGCGUUGUCCGGAAUUACUGGGUGUAAAGGGAGCGCAGGCGGGAAGACAAGUUGGAAGUGAAAUCCAUGGGCUCAACCCAUGAACUGCUUUCAAAACUGUUUUUCUUGAGUAGUGCAGAGGUAGGCGGAAUUCCCGGUGUAGCGGUGGAAUGCGUAGAUAUCGGGAGGAACACCAGUGGCGAAGGCGGCCUACUGGGCACCAACUGACGCUGAGGCUCGAAAGUGUGGGUAGCAAACAGGAUUAGAUACCCUGGUAGUCCACACUGUAAACGAUGAUUACUAGGUGUUGGAGGAUUGACCCCUUCAGCGCCGCAGUUAACACAAUAAGUAAUCCACCUGGGGAGUACGACCGCAAGGUUGAAACUCAAAGGAAUUGACGGGGGCCCGCACAAGCAGUGGAGUAUGUGGUUUAAUUCGACGCAACGCGAAGAACCUUACCAAGUCUUGACAUCCUGCGACGCACAUAGAAAUAUGUGUUUCCUUCGGGACGCAGAGACAGGUGGUGCAUGGUUGUCGUCAGCUCGUGUCGUGAGAUGUUGGGUUAAGUCCCGCAACGAGCGCAACCCUUAUGGUCAGUUACUACGCAAGAGGACUCUGGCCAGACUGCCGUUGACAAAACGGAGGAAGGUGGGGAUGACGUCAAAUCAUCAUGCCCUUUAUGACUUGGGCUACACACGUACUACAAUGGCGUUAAACAAAGAGAAGCAAGACCGCGAGGUGGAGCAAAACUCAGAAACAACGUCCCAGUUCGGACUGCAGGCUGCAACUCGCCUGCACGAAGUCGGAAUUGCUAGUAAUCGCAGAUCAGCAUGCUGCGGUGAAUACGUUCCCGGGCCUUGUACACACCGCCCGUCACACCAUGAGAGCCGGGGGGACCCGAAGUCGGUAGUCUAACCGCAAGGAGGACGCCGCCGAAGGUAAAACUGGUGAUUGGGGUGAAGUCGAAACAAGGUA